AGUGAACGCUGGCGGUAGGCCUAACACAUGCAAGUCGAACGGCAGCACAGUAAGAGCUUGCUCUUACGGGUGGCGAGUGGCGGACGGGUGAGGAAUACAUCGGAAUCUACUUUUUCGUGGGUGAUAACGUAGGGAAACUUACGCUAAUACCGCAUACGACCUACGGGUGAAAGCAGGGGAUCUUCGGACCUUGCGCGAUUGUAUGAGCCGAUGUCGGAUUAGCUAGUUGGCGGGGUAAAGGCCCACCAAGGCGACGAUCCGUAGCUGGUCUGAGAGGAUGAUCAGCCACACUGGAACUGAGACACGGUCCAGACUCCUACGGGAGGCAGCAGUGGGGAAUAUUGGACAAUGGGCGCAAGCCUGAUCCAGCCAUACCGCGUGGGUGAAGAAGGCCUUCGGGUUGUAAAGCCCUUUUGUUGGGAAAGAAAAGCAGCAGGUUAAUACCCCGCUGUUCUGACGGUACCCGAAGAAUAAGCACCGGCUAACUUCGUG
Molecule: ribosomal RNA, 492 nt
Filed under: uncultured bacterium
Lineage: Bacteria
Description: partial 16S ribosomal RNA
Rfam family: Bacterial small subunit ribosomal RNA
Source: RNAcentral